This 1195-nucleotide long non-coding RNA is filed under the name Citrus sinensis (sweet orange). RNAcentral's name for it is "long non-coding RNA (CSIN_LNC000090)". The record is from RNAcentral. Lineage: Eukaryota; Viridiplantae; Streptophyta; Magnoliopsida; Sapindales; Rutaceae.
UCAUUCCCGGAAGUUGAUGAUAAGGCUGCCGAAAAAUCCCAUCUCCAAGAGACCCCAAUAUUGCUUGUUGGUGUAUUGAAGGAGGUGGCGGCGUCUGUGGAAGCUGGCUAAGCAGAGUGGCAAUUGAUGAUGAACCAUUUCCAUGAUGGUCAGUUCUCCCCUCGAUGCUUUGAUCAUCAUUAACAUUAUUUUCCCCAUGAAAUCUCUUGUUCACCAAUGCGCCGCCACUUGGCACAUCCUCAUGAUCAGUCCAACUACUAGAUGGCAGUGUUCUCUUAAGAGAAUCCAUUGCUUGAACCUGUAGUUUUGAUGAGCUUGAGGCAGCAAACUGAUGAUGAUGAUGAGAUGAAAUGGAUCCAUUGUUGUUGUUGCUGCUGUUGUUGUUAAUACCAUCAUGACUCGUUAACCCUUCAAAAAAAUUUGGUUCAUUAACUAACAAAGCUCCAAAACUAUUUAAAUUUGCUCCCCUUGUCGGCAUAUGCAGCUUCAAAUUUGUAUUCUGUUGCUGGCUACUAAUCAUCAGCGAAGGCGGUAUGUGUACUCCAAGCAUAUCAUCCAUCGAAUCAUCUUUAUCAUGAUCCAUUAAUGGCCUAUGCAAGUUGUUUUUUUUGUAUAUUCGACAUAGCACCCAGUCAUCAAGCUACCAUAACAGAAAUCAAAAAACCCUUUAACCAAUUUUCCAUAAUAUUAAACAUACAUGUAAUAGGAAUAAAAAUUUACCCUCAGGGAGUUCUUUUUGUUGCCCAAAUCACAACCAGGGGGCUUGUUACUGACUUUGUUAUCGGUAAGGCGAUAUUCAUGCAUGAUCCAAUUGGUCUUGAUACCUUUAGGAGGCUUGCCUCCAUAGAAUACAAGUGCUUUUUUCACACCAACUUUUUGAUUACUCCCUGAACUCAUCACUGGCUUAUCUGUUCCGGUAGCCUUCCAAUAUCCUGAAGUUGCUGCUCUGUUUGGCCUCGCCCCGUUCGGAUACUUCCUGUCCCUAGGGCUAAAGAAGUACCAUUCUUGCUCUCCAAAUGUUGCCUUAGCUGAAUAUAAUAUUAAUUGAAACCCAUGAUUAUUUUAUUUAUUACUACUAAUUAGUAACAGCAUAUAAAUAGGUUAAUUACCUGGAAGCUCCCAUGGAUCAAACUUGUACAAAUCAACUUCCGCAAUAAUUGAAACUGGGAGAGGAGCUGAGCUUGCUUUCUUCUUG